Molecule: ribosomal RNA, 383 nt
Filed under: uncultured bacterium
Lineage: Bacteria
Description: bacterial SSU rRNA
Rfam family: Bacterial small subunit ribosomal RNA
Source: RNAcentral
UAAUACAGAGACCUCAAGCGUUAUCCGGAAUCAUUGGGCGUAAAGCGUUCCGAUAGGUGGUUUAGAAAGUUUUGGGUAAAAGCCAGAAGCUCAACUUCUGCGUUUGCUCAAAAUACUUCUCAACUAGAGGGGCAAAUAGGUAACUGGAACGAACGGUGUAGUAGUGAAAUGCGUUGAUAUCGUUCGGAACACCGAAAGCGAAGGCAGGUUACUGGGUGCCACCUGACACUGCUAGGACGAAAGCGUGGGGAGCGAAUGGGAUUAGAUACCCCAGUAGUCCACGCUGUAAACGAUGAAUAUUAGGCAUGCGCGAGUAUCGACCCUCGUGCGAGCCGUAGCUAACGCGUUAAAUAUUCCGCCUGGGGAGUACGGCCGCAAGGCUA